RNAcentral lists this ribosomal RNA (415 nucleotides) under uncultured bacterium. RNAcentral describes it as "bacterial SSU rRNA". It matches the Rfam family "Bacterial small subunit ribosomal RNA", at positions 362 to 774 of the family's 1533-position model. The record is from RNAcentral.
UAUUGGUCAAUGGACGCAAGUCUGAACCAGCCAUGCCGCGUGAAGGAUGAAUGCCCUCAGGGUUGUAAACUUCUUUUAUCUGGGAAGAAAUCCUCGAUUUCCAUCGGGGUUGACGGUACCAGAUGAAUAAGCACCGGCUAACUCCGUGCCAGCAGCCGCGGUAAUACGGAGGGUGCAAGCGUUAUCCGGAUUCACUGGGUUUAAAGGGUGCGUAGGUGGGUAUGUAAGUCAGUGGUGAAAUCCCCGAGCUUAACUUGGGAACUGCCGUUGAUACUAUAUAUCUUGAAUGUCGUAGAGGUAAGCGGAAUAUGUCAUGUAGCGGUGAAAUGCUUAGAGAUGACAUAGAACACCAAUUGCGAAGGCAGCUUGCUAUGCGAUUAUUGACACUGAGGCACGAAAGCGUGGGUAGCAAACA